Molecule: unclassified non-coding RNA, 638 nt
Filed under: uncultured Prochlorococcus sp.
Lineage: Bacteria; Bacillati; Cyanobacteriota; Cyanophyceae; Synechococcales; Prochlorococcaceae
Description: partial 16S-23S ribosomal RNA intergenic spacer; may also contain 16S ribosomal RNA and 23S ribosomal RNA
Rfam family: tRNA (bases 303-375)
Source: RNAcentral
UUGUGGAGGAGGACGCCGAAGGUGGGGCUAAUGACUGGGGUGAAGUCGUAACAAGGUAGCCGUACCGGAAGGUGCGGCUGGAUCACCUCCUAACAGGGAGACAACAAAAUGUUUAAUAUUAUUUUGUCACCUUAGGUCGAUCGGUAUCUCACAUUCUUAAUUUAUUGAGGAUUUCAAGUCCUAAGUUUUUUCUAGGUCACACCCAUUACUUUUCCUGGGCCAUUAGCUCAGGUGGUUAGAGCGCACCCCUGAUAAGGGUGAGGUCCCUGGUUCAAGUCUAGGAUGGCCCAUAUCUCUAUGUUGGGGGUAUAGCUCAGUUGGUAGAGCGCCUGCUUUGCAAGCAGGAUGUCAGCGGUUCGAGUCCGCUUACCUCCACUGAUUACCACCUCUUGCAUAAACUAUGGAAAUGUUUUGAGUUGUGAUCAAAUCCUGAACGAAUCUAGCUUCCUAAUGAAAUUAUUAAGAUGCUGGACUCAUUGAAUUAAUUUCAUUGUUUUCAGAGAACCUUGACAACUGCAUAGAUUAUUUUAAAGACAUUAAGCAUCUUUAAUGAUGCAGAUUUAUUAUUUGUGCGAAUGCAUUAAUAACAAUUCUAUUAAGCUGAUGCUUCAAUUUUGAAGUUAUUGGUCAAGCUACAA